Molecule: ribosomal RNA, 284 nt
Filed under: Lysinibacillus sphaericus
Lineage: Bacteria; Bacillati; Bacillota; Bacilli; Caryophanales; Bacillaceae
Description: partial 16S ribosomal RNA
Rfam family: Bacterial small subunit ribosomal RNA
Source: RNAcentral
UUUUAUGGAGAGUUUGAUCCUGGCUCAGGACGAACGCUGGCGGCGUGCCUAAUACAUGCAAGUCGAGCGAACAGAGAAGGAGCUUGCUCCUUUGACGUUAGCGGCGGACGGGUGAGUAACACGUGGGCAACCUACCUUAUAGUUUGGGAUAACUCCGGGAAACCGGGGCUAAUACCGAAUAAUCUAUUUUACUUCAUGGUGAAAUACUGAAAGACGGUCUCGGCUGUCGCUAUAAGAUGGGCCCGCGGCGCAUUAGCUAGUUGGUGAGGUAACGGCUCACCAAG